This 2893-nucleotide long non-coding RNA is filed under the name Ananas comosus (pineapple). RNAcentral describes it as "long non-coding RNA (ACOM_LNC033166)". Lineage: Eukaryota; Viridiplantae; Streptophyta; Magnoliopsida; Poales; Bromeliaceae. The record is from RNAcentral.
UUAAUAAUUGAUUCAGUAUUUAUGGUUCAGUGGUUUGCUUAAAUUGGACAAAAAUGAUUUUGUGGUUGUAAUAAAGGAUUUAUGGCUUUCUUGCAAAAAUGAAAAUGGUUUUCUACCCCUCGUGGUAGCGAAUUUUAAAAGGAAAAAGGUUUUCGUGUGGAAAACGGUUUUAAAAAGGAUUUUCUGGUUUUCCUGAUUAUUAGUAUUUCAAAACGAGUUUCCGGGUAGGAAACAUUUUAAACUGGUAGAUGUGAAUUUAUGAAUAUUGGUGAUGAAAUAAAUGUGGUUGUGAAUGGUAUAUGGAUAUAUAUAUAUAUGUUCAUAUAUGAUGGUUGUAUCUUGAAUUGUAUAUCUUGUACUUGUGCGACGCCAUACAAAUACAGGGGACUCUGUCCGGGUGAACAGUGGACUCCCUAUACUUAUGGCGGAUCUGGCAUACCUUCGGGGUCAGAAUUUUCAAAAAAAAAAAAAUUGGGCACUUCUGCAAUGACUUUUAAACCAAAAAGGGACCCCAGGGCGUGACAUGAGCCCGGUGAUCGUUGGUCAGUGCCGAUCACAGUACUCACCUCAUUUUAGAUCAGCUGCUUUCGAAGUUGCGUUUUCGGCGCAGUUUUACCCGAGUGCGCUGUUCGCAGAAUUUUCGGGUCACUCCCGCGCCUUCCACAGUGAGUCGUUGUGCUCCGAAUCGUGAGCACGUCCUCCGGCGUGUCGAGUCCUAUCAGUACAUGUCACGGCAGACCUCGAAAGCCUUCAAGUUUCGUUAACGAGCCACAAUGUCGCCUUAUUUAUCUAAAAUAGUGGGAUUUUAUGUAAAUAGAGGGACUUUUAUGCAAUUUUACAUCUUGUGGUUUCUAUGGGCAGUACGUACGUGUGGUAAGUGACCUCUGGAUUGAUCGUCCAAGGUCCGAUAGCCUUCGCGGAAAUCGAACGUCGAUUUCGAUGCGUUUUUCGGUGAAAUUCGCCGGUGGAAUGUGGUUUCGAUUCGGAUUUCUUCCGACGUUGUUUGUUUGCCCUGAGAGUUGUCGCUGAGCUUUAUUGGCUGGUCACCAUCAUCAUAUCAUGGGUUCGGAGAUGACGGGUGAGCGACGGUGGGUUCCGGUGUCGAAAUUGACACUUCCGGGAAUCCGGAUCCGAACAAUUAUCAGGAUUAUUUAGUUGUGAACUCUUGUGUUUGCUGCCAAGACAUCAAAAUCGAUGUGUUUUGUGGUACUGGGUGACUCGUGGCACGAGUCGAUGAGUUUCAGAAUACUUAGUGGGUCCCGACGGAGUCCCGGUGUGAUUUUUGGGACUUCCGACGAGUUACGGUGAUCUGAUUUAGGAAACCAAUCACAGGGAUUUGUGUGCGGUUUGUGAGUCGUGUAUUCUAGUUGUGUGGGUUGGAUACUGACUCGGUGGACCUUCAUAGGUCCGGUUGACUAUAGUGUACUUUGGAGAUAGACGCGACAUUAGUGCAGGUGGGUGCUUCGAGCUCGUACUCGGUGAGAUUGUUUUACCUUCUUCUAUUCUUCUAUUUCAGCAUUGUAGUCUCUACAUGUCGGUUGCUUUGUUAUUGUUUGUUUAUCUAUACCUUAUUGAUUGCAUGAUGAUUAUUGUUGAUAGACAUGUAGAGCAAGCUUGUAUAUAUAUUGUAUCUCUGUGGGCCUUUGGUCCAGGCAACACUUCGAUUCCUUUGUCGUGUGUUUCGAUCUGGUUGAUCGUGGUUCGGCGUUGUACGCCCUUGUAUCUCACUUCGGCCAAGGCACCAGUUUCAGUCGGCUUUCGUAUUGAGCAUAUCAGCAUAACUUAGUCACAGCACUUGGGUGUAUUCAUGACACCAGGUCGGUUUGGCUACCGACCGGAUGUGUACUUAUCCGGAUGGGUCGUCCAGUGGACGGAUGAAUCAGGUCGGUGCAAGUAGUGUGACAGGCAACGCUUGAGGUCUGCGAACCUAUAUAGUAGGCACCAGAUUGGGUACAGUUUUGGUUUGAUUACCUUGAGGCAUACUCAGCAUUGUAUUCUUUACAGUAGCAAUUUUUAUUACUUGCUUCUUAUCAUAUCUAUUAUAGCUACUGUAGUUCACUUUUUUAUCACAGCAUCAGCACUUGUUUACUUUACCUCCUUUGGUUUCCGAUGCUUACGACUUGCCUUCGUGACUCUGUCGUACCCACUGAAAAACCUUGAUUGUGGUUUCUCACCCCCCAUUUCCCUAGGUGGUUCGAGUAAGGAGUUGGCUUUUGGGCUCGACGGGAGGACGCACUAGCUAGACGGCAGUAGCGACCGUCACCCUGAUUAUCUUUUAUUUCCACAUUUAGUAGUUUAAUAAUUAAAUGGUUUAGUUAGAUGAUCACUAUUACUGUUGAGUAUUUGUGAAACUGUUUGACUUGAUGUUUUCAUAUGAUGCUAGCAAUUGGAUUUGUGGUUUUGAUUUUAUGGAUAAUUGGUUCUCGGACUUUUGUGCUUACGCAUUGUGGUUUUCUGCCCCUCGAGAUAGUCGAUUUUCAAAAGUGAAGUUUCCGAGUGGGAAACAGUUUUAAAAAGGUUUUCGAUUGGUUUUUAUGAAUGAUUAAAUAGAGUUUAAAAUCAAAGCUUCCGAGUGGGGAGCACUUUUAAAUAGGAUGCUUGUUGUACUGUACAUUGCAUCAUCCAGCGCCUAGGAGUGUUUAGAGGCAUGCAUCAUCUCUAAGGAUCGCUAGCUGUAUGUAAAUACAUGGCAUGAGUUAAUUGUUGAUUGGUGAAUGUAGGUUGUAGUUGAAAUCCUGAUGUAUUGUUGGUACGCCGUGCAAAUACAAAGGAGACUCUAUCCGAGUGGAUAGAGGAACUUUGUAUUUGUAGCGGGUCUGUACGUCACGUGGACCAUGUUGAAUAAAAAAAAAAUUGGCCGUUUUUUUCGCAACUCUGAUUUUAAAAAUUGUAU